CAGUCGCCGCGGUAAUACGGAGGGUGCAAGCGUUAAUCGGAAUUACUGGGCGUAAAGCGCACGCAGGCGGUCUGACAAGUCAGAUGUGAAAUCCCCGGGCUUAACCUGGGAACUGCAUUUGAAACUGUCAGGCUGGAGUCUUGUAGAGGGGGGUGGAAUUCCAGGUGUAGCGGUGAAAUGCGUAGAGAUCUGGAGGAAUACCGGUGGCGAAGGCGGCCCCCUGGACAAAGACUGACGCUCAGGUGCGAAAGCGUGGGGAGCAAACAGGAUUAGAUACCCCGGUAGUCCCUGUCUCUUAUAA
RNAcentral lists this ribosomal RNA (301 nucleotides) under uncultured bacterium. RNAcentral describes it as "partial 16S ribosomal RNA". It matches the Rfam family "Bacterial small subunit ribosomal RNA", at positions 509 to 809 of the family's 1533-position model. The record is from RNAcentral.